This 285-nucleotide unclassified non-coding RNA is filed under the name plant metagenome. RNAcentral's name for it is "partial contains small subunit ribosomal RNA, internal transcribed spacer 1, and 5.8S ribosomal RNA". The stretch from base 1 to 54 matches the Rfam family "Eukaryotic small subunit ribosomal RNA", at positions 1778 to 1831 of the family's 1831-position model. The record is from RNAcentral.
GGAAGUAAAAGUCGUAACAAAGUUUCCGUAGGUGAACCUGCGGAAGGAUCAUUAUUGUAUAACCGAGGUGCGAGGGCUGUCGCUGACCCGAAAGGUCGUGCACGCCCGAGUGCCCUCACACACAUCCAUCUCACCCCUAUGUGCACCACCGCGUGGGUCCCCCUUUGGCUUGUUCGGAGGGGGGCUUACGUUUUCACACAAACUUUGUAUGCAGUGUAGAAUGUAUUUUUUGUUUUUGCGAUCACGCAAUCAAUUCAACUUUCAACAACGGAUCUCUUGGCUCUC